UUACUGCGAAGGGGGGACGGAGAAGGCUAUGUUGGCCGGGCGACGGUUGUCCCGGUUUAAGCGUGUAGGCUGGUUUUCCAGGCAAAUCCGGAAAAUCAAGGCUGAGGCGUGAUGACGAGGCACUACGGUGCUGAAGCAACAAAUGCCCUGCUUCCAGGAAAAGCCUCUAAGCAUCAGGUAACAUCAAAUCGUACCCCAAACCGACACAGGUGGUCAGGUAGAGAAUACCAAGGCGCUUGAGAGAACUCGGGUGAAGGAACUAGGCAAAAUGGUGCCGUAACUUCGGGAGAAGGCACGCUGAUAUGUAGGUGAAGUCCCUUGCGGAUGGAGCUGAAAUCAGUCGAAGAUACCAGCUGGCUGCAACUGUUUAUUAAAAACACAGCACUGUGCAAACACGAAAGUGGACGUAUACGGUGUGACGCCUGCCCGGUGCCGGAAGGUUAAUUGAUGGGGUCAGCGCAAGCGAAGCUCUUGAUCGAAGCCCCGGUAAACGGCGGCCGUAACUAUAACGGUCCUAAGGUAGCGAAAUUCCUUGUCGGGUAAGUUCCGACCUGCACGAAUGGCGUAAUGAUGGCCAGGCUGUCUCCACCCGAGACUCAGUGAAAUUGAACUCGCUGUGAAGAUGCAGUGUACCCGCGGCAAGACGGAAAGACCCCGUGAACCUUUACUAUAGCUUGACACUGAACAUUGAGCCUUGAUGUGUAGGAUAGGUGGGAGGCUUUGAAGUGUGGACGCCAGUCUGCAUGGAGCCGGCCUUGAAAUACCACCCUUUAAUGUUUGAUGUUCUAACGUGGACCCGUGAUCCGGGUUGCGGACAGUGUCUGGUGGGUAGUUUGACUGGGGCGGUCUCCUCCUAAAGAGUAACGGAGGAGCACGAAGGUUGGCUAAUCCUGGUCGGACAUCAGGAGGUUAGUGCAAUGGCAUAAGCCAGCUUGACUGCGAGCGUGACGGCGCGAGCAGGUGCGAAAGCAGGUCAUAGUGAUCCGGUGGUUCUGAAUGGAAGGGCCAUCGCUCAACGGAUAAAAGGUACUCCGGGGAUAACAGGCUGAUACCGCCCAAGAGUUCAUAUCGACGGCGGUGUUUGGCACCUCGAUGUCGGCUCAUCACAUCCUGGGGCUGAAGUAGGUCCCAAGGGUAUGGCUGUUCGCCAUUUAAAGUGGUACGCGAGCUGGGUUUAGAACGUCGUGAGACAGUUCGGUCCCUAUCUGCCGUGGGCGCUGGAGAACUGAGGGGGGCUGCUCCUAGUACGAGAGGACCGGAGUGGACGCAUCACUGGUGUUCGGGUUGUCAUGCCAAUGGCACUGCCCGGUAGCUAAAUGCGGAAGAGAUAAGUGCUGAAAGCAUCUAAGCACGAAACUUGCCCCGAGAUGAGUUCUCCCUGACCCUUUAAGGGUCCUGAAGGAACGUUGAAGACGACGACGUUGAUAGGCCGGGUGUGUAAGCGCAGCGAUGCGUUGAGCUAACCGGUACUAAUGAACCGUGAGG
Molecule: ribosomal RNA, 1485 nt
Filed under: Shigella sonnei
Lineage: Bacteria; Pseudomonadati; Pseudomonadota; Gammaproteobacteria; Enterobacterales; Enterobacteriaceae
Description: partial 23S ribosomal RNA
Rfam family: Bacterial large subunit ribosomal RNA
Source: RNAcentral